UGCUGGGUUCUUCUGGCAUGGCUUGGAUUUGGGGGGGUCUGCAGGCUUUAAAGUCGGCUCCCCUGAAAAGGAUUAGCGGUAUCUGAGCAGACACGGCGUGAUAAUUAUCUAUGCUGUUGGCAUGCGCAAGAAUCCUGCUUCUAAACCCGAGUGUUGAAAAAUUUGACCUCAAAUCAGGUAGGACUACCCGCUGAACUUAA
RNAcentral lists this unclassified non-coding RNA (200 nucleotides) under soil metagenome. RNAcentral's name for it is "partial contains internal transcribed spacer 2 and large subunit ribosomal RNA". The record is from RNAcentral.